Molecule: ribosomal RNA, 496 nt
Filed under: uncultured bacterium
Lineage: Bacteria
Description: partial 16S ribosomal RNA
Rfam family: Bacterial small subunit ribosomal RNA
Source: RNAcentral
AUGAACGCUGGCGGCGUGCCUAAUACCUGCCAGUCGAGCGAACAGAUCAGGAGCUUGCUCCUUUGACGUUAGCGGCGGACGGGUGAGUAACACGUGGGUAACCUACCUAUAAGACUGGGAUAACUUCGGGAAACCGGAGCUAAUACCGGAUAAUAUUUCGAACCGCAUGGUUCGAUAGUGAAAGAUGGUUUUGCUAUCACUUAUAGAUGGACCCGCGCCGUAUUAGCUAGUUGGUAAGGUAACGGCUUACCAAGGCGACGAUACGUAGCCGACCUGAGAGGGUGAUCGGCCACACUGGAACUGAGACACGGUCCAGACUCCUACGGGAGGCAGCAGUAGGGAAUCUUCCGCAAUGGGCGAAAGCCUGACGGAGCAACGCCGCGUGAGUGAUGAAGGUCUUCGGAUCGUAAAACUCUGUUAUUAGGGAAGAACAUACGUGUAAGUAACUGUGCACGUCUUGACGGUACCUAAUCAGAAAGCCACGGCUAACUACGUG